RNAcentral lists this ribosomal RNA (318 nucleotides) under uncultured bacterium. RNAcentral's name for it is "bacterial SSU rRNA". It matches the Rfam family "Bacterial small subunit ribosomal RNA", at positions 28 to 334 of the family's 1533-position model. The record is from RNAcentral.
GAUGAACGCUAGCGACAGGCUUAACACAUGCAAGUCGAGGGGCAGCGGGGGUGAUGGCUUGCCAUCGCCUGCCGGCGACCGGCGCACGGGUGAGUAACACGUAUGCAACCUGCCCGCCACAGGGGGAUAAGCGGAAGAAAUUCCGUCUAAUACCGCGUGACGCGGCGCCGGGGCAUCCCGGUGCCGCCAAAGGGAUUACCGGUGGCGGAUGGGCAUGCGGCGCAUUAGCUAGUCGGCGGGGUAACGGCCCACCGAGGCGACGAUGCGUAGGGGUUCUGAGAGGAAGGUCCGCCACACUGGUACUGAGACACGGACCAG